This is a long non-coding RNA of Chinchilla lanigera (long-tailed chinchilla), 508 nucleotides long. The record is from Ensembl. Lineage: Eukaryota; Metazoa; Chordata; Mammalia; Rodentia; Chinchillidae.
UUAUAAAGAAAGGUUUACUUAGUUCACAGUUCUGGAGGUUUGAAUUCCAUAAUUGGGUAACUCUGUUCAGGCUUCGUAACUCAUGGCAUCACAAUGGUGGGAACCUGUGUAGAAGUGAUCAUAUGGUGGGGAGUGGCUAUUGUUGCUCUUUUUAUUACAACUCACUCUGGUGAGAACUUGUCCCAUAAGAAAAGCAUUAGUCUUAUGCAAGAGUAAAGCUCUCAUUGACCUAAUUACCACUCACCAGGCCACAUCAUUUAUAAGUUGCCAUAUCCUUGCCUGAACACUCUCAUACUGGGAACACUGUCACACAUGUGGACUUUGGGGAGACCAGCCAUAUGUGCAUCAUAGUAGACAAUUUCCUGAGACAGAGGGCACAAUGGAGAUCAACAGUUUAUGGAGCUGAUUCUUGUAAGCAUGAUGAACACAUAUAUGGAGAAGACGUAGAAAAUUUUGAGAGCCCACAAACUCCAGGAAAGUCAUCACCGUUGAUCAUCUGGGCCUUUUG